GCCAGAGUCUCAUUCUGUCACCCAGGCUGUAGUACAGUGGCACGAUCUCGGCACACUGCAACCUCUGUCUCCCAGAUUCAAGCGAUCCUCCAGGCUCCCUAGUACCUGGGACUACAAGCAGGCGACCCGACGCCCAGCUAAUUUUUGCGGGGUUUCACCAUUUUGGCCAGGCUGUUCUCCAACUCUGGACAAGAGGUCUUGCCAUCUCUAAGCUGGACCUGGUGACCUUUUUGGAGGGAAAGAAAGAGCCCUGGACUGUGAAGAGUGAGGAGACCAUAGCUGCACAGCCAGUCCAGAUGUAUAAUCUCAUCCCUGAACAUUUCUGAUGGUGUGAUUAUGACAUGUGACUUUAUCUGGCAACAGAGUGAGUUGUUGCUCCCGCCUGAGCCCAGCCCCCAGAAAGGAUUGUGACAUAUCGUUGGACCCAGAAUUGAGGUAAUGUAACUAUUCCACUGCCUUGGCACUGCCCACAGAAGACAUUGUGACAUAUUGCUGGGUCUUGUACCCAGGUGGUGUGAAUCUUCUCUCCUGCCUUGGCUCUUCCACAGGGGGCAUUGUGUCAUAUCGCUGGGCCCCACACAUAGGU
This 586-nucleotide long non-coding RNA is filed under the name Homo sapiens (human). RNAcentral describes it as "HSALNT0396924". Lineage: Eukaryota; Metazoa; Chordata; Mammalia; Primates; Hominidae. The record is from RNAcentral.